This 72-nucleotide transfer RNA is filed under the name Caudoviricetes sp. RNAcentral describes it as "tRNA-Met". It matches the Rfam family "tRNA". Rfam says of the family: Transfer RNA (tRNA) molecules are approximately 80 nucleotides in length. Their secondary structure includes four short double-helical elements and three loops (D, anti-codon, and T loops). Further hydrogen bonds mediate the characteristic L-shaped molecular structure. tRNAs have two regions of fundamental functional importance: the anti-codon, which is responsible for specific mRNA codon recognition, and the 3' end, to which the tRNAs corresponding amino acid is attached (by aminoacyl-tRNA synthetases). tRNAs cope with the degeneracy of the genetic code in two manners: having more than one tRNA (with a specific anti-codon) for a particular amino acid; and 'wobble' base-pairing, i.e. permitting non-standard base-pairing at the 3rd anti-codon position. The record is from RNAcentral. Lineage: Duplodnaviria; Heunggongvirae; Uroviricota; Caudoviricetes.
UGCAGGAUAGAGCAGCGGCAAGCUCACUGGGCUCAUAACCCAGACACGUCGGUUCGAGUCCGACUCCUGCAA